GAGUGGCGGACGGGUGAGUAAUGCUUGGGAACUUGCCUUUGCGAGGGGGAUAACAGUUGGAAACGACUGCUAAUACCGCAUAAUGUCUUCGGACCAAACGGGGCUUCGGCUCCGGCGCAAAGAGAGGCCCAAGUGAGAUUAGCUAGUUGGUAAGGUAACGGCUUACCAAGGCGACGAUCUCUAGCUGUUCUGAGAGGAAGAUCAGCCACACUGGGACUGAGACACGGCCCAGACUCCUACGGGAGGCAGCAGUGGGGAAUAUUGCACAAUGGGGGAAACCCUGAUGCAGCCAUGCCGCGUGUGUGAAGAAGGCCUUCGGGUUGUAAAGCACUUUCAGUUGUGAGGAAAAGUUAGUAGUUAAUACCUGCUAGCCGUGACGUUAACAACAGAAGAAGCACCGGCUAACUCCGUGCCAGCAGCCGCGGUAAUACGGAGGGUGCGAGCGUUAAUCGGAAUUACUGGGCGUAAAGCGCACGCAGGCGGUUUGUUAAGCUAGAUGUGAAAGCCCCGGGCUCAACCUGGGAUGGUCAUUUAGAACUGGCAGACUAGAGUCUUGGAGAGGGGAGUGGAAUUCCAGGUGUAGCGGUGAAAUGCGUAGAUAUCUGGAGGAACAUCAGUGGCGAAGGCGACUCCCUGGCCAAAGACUGACGCUCAUGUGCGAAAGUGUGGGUAGCGAACAGGAUUAGAUACCCUGGUAGUCCACACCGUAAACGCUGUCUACUAGCUGUGUGUGUCUUUAAGACGUGCGUAGCGAAGCUAACGCGCUAAGUAGACC
RNAcentral lists this ribosomal RNA (775 nucleotides) under Alteromonadales bacterium HOT1D5. RNAcentral's name for it is "bacterial SSU rRNA". It matches the Rfam family "Bacterial small subunit ribosomal RNA", at positions 93 to 870 of the family's 1533-position model. Lineage: Bacteria; Pseudomonadati; Pseudomonadota; Gammaproteobacteria; Alteromonadales. The record is from RNAcentral.